CCUACGGGUGGCAGCAGUGGGGAAUAUUGGACAAUGGGCGAAAGCCUGAUCCAGCCAUGCCGCGUGUGUGAAGAAGGCCUUCGGGUUGUAAAGCACUUUCAGUGGGGAAGAAAGCCUUGGGGCUAAUACCCUCGAGGAAGGACAUCACCCACAGAAGAAGCACCGGCUAACUCCGUGCCAGCAGCCGCGGUAAUACGGAGGGUGCGAGCGUUAAUCGGAAUUACUGGGCGUAAAGCGCGCGUAGGCGGUUUGAUAAGCCGGUUGUGAAAGCCCCGGGCUCAACCUGGGAACGGCAUCCGGAACUGUCAGGCUAGAGUGCAGGAGAGGAAGGUAGAAUUCCCGGUGUAGCGGUGAAAUGCGUAGAGAUCGGGAGGAAUACCAGUGGCGAAGGCGGCCUUCUGGACUGACACUGACGCUGAGGUGCGAAAGCGUGGGUAGCAAACAGGAUUAGAUACCCCAGUAGUC
This 465-nucleotide ribosomal RNA is filed under the name Vreelandella stevensii. RNAcentral describes it as "partial 16S ribosomal RNA". It matches the Rfam family "Bacterial small subunit ribosomal RNA", at positions 338 to 795 of the family's 1533-position model. Lineage: Bacteria; Pseudomonadati; Pseudomonadota; Gammaproteobacteria; Oceanospirillales; Halomonadaceae. The record is from RNAcentral.